GGGAAAGUAGCCAAGUGGUCGAGGCGACACUGACCGCAACAGGUCAGGUUCAGCGCAAAGCUGACAUCGCAGGUUCAAAUCCUGCCUUUCCCG
Molecule: transfer RNA, 93 nt
Filed under: Duncaniella sp.
Lineage: Bacteria; Pseudomonadati; Bacteroidota; Bacteroidia; Bacteroidales; Muribaculaceae
Description: tRNA-Ala
Rfam family: tRNA
About the family: Transfer RNA (tRNA) molecules are approximately 80 nucleotides in length. Their secondary structure includes four short double-helical elements and three loops (D, anti-codon, and T loops). Further hydrogen bonds mediate the characteristic L-shaped molecular structure. tRNAs have two regions of fundamental functional importance: the anti-codon, which is responsible for specific mRNA codon recognition, and the 3' end, to which the tRNAs corresponding amino acid is attached (by aminoacyl-tRNA synthetases). tRNAs cope with the degeneracy of the genetic code in two manners: having more than one tRNA (with a specific anti-codon) for a particular amino acid; and 'wobble' base-pairing, i.e. permitting non-standard base-pairing at the 3rd anti-codon position.
Source: RNAcentral